GGGUUGUGAGGUUAAGCGACUAAGCGUACACGGUGGAUGCCCUGGCAGUCAGAGGCGAUGAAGGGCGUGCUAAUCUGCGAUAAGCGCCGGUAAGGUGAUAUGAACCGUUAUAACCGGCGAUACCCGAAUGGGGAAACCCAGUGUGAUUC
RNAcentral lists this ribosomal RNA (149 nucleotides) under Salmonella enterica. Its description in RNAcentral is "partial 23S ribosomal RNA". It matches the Rfam family "Bacterial large subunit ribosomal RNA", at positions 1 to 139 of the family's 2925-position model. RNAcentral also lists the same sequence under 3 other names. The record is from RNAcentral. Lineage: Bacteria; Pseudomonadati; Pseudomonadota; Gammaproteobacteria; Enterobacterales; Enterobacteriaceae.